CUUGGUUGUUGUGUCGUUCCAAGAGCGGUGGCUGCUCAUUAUUUUGGACAUGUUCCUGCUGUGUCAAACUGAGUUCAGACUGAAUGUUUAACAACAGUUGGCUUCGACCCUACUGUCCGGGACUGAGGGCACCGUCGUCAGAUUCAUUGGUCAGAUUUCUGGUAAGGAGUGGAUUUUUGGACAGUUCAGCAUCCAGCAGAACACCCAUCGAAGGAUUCGUCCAUCAGGAGACCAAGAUUCCAGUUAACUGGGUGGCGAGCCAACCCGUGGAAAAAUUGAGAGACCAAGAGGAGGAGGAUCGCUUCUGCAGAAGAAUUACUGCGCUCAUGGUGGAAGCUGAAUUAGUGAGGAUGACUCCUGCUCCUGUCAUCUCUAAGCUCCUCACACAUCUUUACCUGCACAUGAGGAAAAUCACUCCUGUAGAAUGCAGGUGACCAGUCUGACAGAUCUGUCAGAAUCUGUCAGACUGGCCACGCCCCCCGCCGUCUGGUGGUCUCUGGAGGAUGGAAUCCCAGGUGUGCGAGAGGGUGUAGGCCACCUCGUCCCGGUUCAUGGAGCAGCUCACCCGGGCGAGGUCAGAUGACGUCCCAUGAACCGGGACCACUGACCUCAUGUUUAUUAGC
This is a long non-coding RNA of Amphiprion ocellaris (clown anemonefish), 623 nucleotides long. The record is from Ensembl. NCBI's taxonomy places the organism in Eukaryota, Metazoa, Chordata, Actinopteri, Pomacentridae.